GGCUUAUUGUGGUAAUGGCCAACCUAUCCGACUGUCUCUCGGAUGCUACGGGUUCGAUUCCCGUAUAAGCCGCCA
RNAcentral lists this transfer RNA (75 nucleotides) under Flavobacteriales bacterium. RNAcentral's name for it is "tRNA-Asp". It matches the Rfam family "tRNA". From Rfam's summary of the family: Transfer RNA (tRNA) molecules are approximately 80 nucleotides in length. Their secondary structure includes four short double-helical elements and three loops (D, anti-codon, and T loops). Further hydrogen bonds mediate the characteristic L-shaped molecular structure. tRNAs have two regions of fundamental functional importance: the anti-codon, which is responsible for specific mRNA codon recognition, and the 3' end, to which the tRNAs corresponding amino acid is attached (by aminoacyl-tRNA synthetases). tRNAs cope with the degeneracy of the genetic code in two manners: having more than one tRNA (with a specific anti-codon) for a particular amino acid; and 'wobble' base-pairing, i.e. permitting non-standard base-pairing at the 3rd anti-codon position. Lineage: Bacteria; Pseudomonadati; Bacteroidota; Flavobacteriia; Flavobacteriales. The record is from RNAcentral.